CAUCACCCACGCCUCACCAUCCGCUCUCCUCAUACCACAGGGCCAUGAUGCCAGCUUGCCCCAUGCAGACACCCCAAUCCUGCACUUCUCUCAGGAGCAGGUGCUGACCAUUACUGAAAAGCGAUUACAGACAGUGUGGGCCAGGGGUGUGGGCCAGGAGAGAUAACCAAGUGAGCGAUGCAAGAGGCUCCGGGGCCGUGUGUCCCAACGGCUGCCCCUGCUCACAACUCCUUGCUGGCCCAGUGGAUGUGUACAGCAGGAGCUUGAAUACUUCUGUCUGUCCCCAGAGACAAAACCAAGCACCUACUAUCGAGGUCAGCAUUUGGAUCUACAAGCCACAUACAAAGUCAUUGCUGCUGCUUAAGCUGACAGAAGCAUAGGAUCACCUUCUUACUCGAACUGAAUCAUCAUCACCACCUGACGUGUGCAACCAAUCUGCAGAGAGAAGGAAUCCUCCCUCCCUUCUUCCCGGGACUGGCCCCAAACAGGAUUGAACCGCUUCUAACAAAGCAUGGAAACUUCAGAAAUAACAAGCUCAGAGUCCCUUGUACUUUCACGAGGAGAGUUGUUCUUCGUUGGAACCACUGCCAGUCAGCCCAGAGGUUGGUUUAUGGAGCUUGGCCGGAUUUCUUACUUAUAACUGGAUUAAUGCUAACCACAGAUUACCUUAUACUGCAACACAACUCCAACAAGCCUGGAAUGGUCAAACCUAGCAAGUAUACAAAAUACAUAAUCUGUAUUAAAAAAAUAAAUGAGAAAACACUAUAGAACCAUAUCCAAAUUAUGUGAGAGUAUUCCUGUGAUGGGAAUGUGCCCUUUUUGUUCACUAAAAACAGGAGAGAGCAUAGGGUUGUGAUGGGAAUGUGACCUUCUUGUUCACUAAAAACAGGAGGAAACAUAGUGUAAACAAGUAACCGCCAACUAGCAUGUGAUAACAUAUGAGACUAAACAUUGCUGAGCUAAUCAACUACAAGUUGUUCCAAGUCCCAGGUUCCCAGAGGGGGGGGCACCGAGGAAGAGUACCAGAGGCCUUCAUCGACGACCACCAGGAGGCAGAAGGAGACCCUCUAGCAACCGGGCGGACAUGCGCGGAGGAGCACCGGAAAUGCGACGGGGUUAGAAAGCGGGAGGGUACAAAAGGGGGAACGGAACAACUUUCGGCGCGGCAGUUGGUGGAGCGAGGACUCCCCUGCCGCCCAGCGCUGCAAUUUGCUUUCUCUUUUCUGUAUUAAUAAAUUGGCUAUAUAAUUGACCCGACUGGCCCAUUGCGCUCAUUUAUAACAAUUCCCUUCCUUAUCAACACAUAUACAAAAAAAAAUCCAUAUGAAUAUCCACUUGGCUAGCAGGAUUUGGGUCUUUAAACUCUGCAGAUCUUCAAAGGCCUGCCAAAGCUAGGCAUCAAAGGUAACUGCUAUGCACUUUAAAUUCUGUGCAGAUCCACACUGACAGAGGUACA
Molecule: long non-coding RNA, 1456 nt
Organism: Passer domesticus (house sparrow)
Lineage: Eukaryota; Metazoa; Chordata; Aves; Passeriformes; Passeridae
Exons: 4
Source: RefSeq, a predicted model, not a curated record